RNAcentral lists this transfer RNA (81 nucleotides) under Streptomyces venezuelae. RNAcentral's name for it is "tRNA-Pseudo-???". The record is from RNAcentral. Lineage: Bacteria; Bacillati; Actinomycetota; Actinomycetes; Kitasatosporales; Streptomycetaceae.
GCCCUCGUCGUCCAGCGGCCGAGGACACCGGCCGCCGGCUCGCCCGGAGUCGGAACCCGGGUUCGAAUCCCGGCGACGGCU